UUUUUUGUGGAGAGUUUGAUCCUGGCUCAGGAUGAACGCUGGCGGCGUGCUUAACACAUGCAAGUCGAACGGAAAGGCCAGUGCUUGCACUGGUACUCGAGUGGCGAACGGGUGAGUAACACGUGGGUGAUCUGCCCCGCACUUCGGGAUAAGCCUGGGAAACUGGGUCUAAUACCGGAUAGGAC
Molecule: ribosomal RNA, 185 nt
Filed under: Corynebacterium sp. HMSC070H05
Lineage: Bacteria; Bacillati; Actinomycetota; Actinomycetes; Mycobacteriales; Corynebacteriaceae
Description: partial 16S ribosomal RNA
Rfam family: Bacterial small subunit ribosomal RNA
Source: RNAcentral